GAUGAACGCUGGCGGCGUGCCUAAUACAUGCAAGUCGAGCGAACAGACGAGGAGCUUGCUCCUCUGACGUUAGCGGCGGACGGGUGAGUAACACGUGGAUAACCUACCUAUAAGACUGGGAUAACUUCGGGAAACCGGAGCUAAUACCGGAUAAUAUAUUGAACCGCAUGGUUCAAUAGUGAAAGACGGUUUUGCUGUCACUUAUAGAUGGAUCCGCGCCGCAUUAGCUAGUUGGUAAGGUAACGGCUUACCAAGGCGACGAUGCAUAGCCGACCUGAGAGGGUGAUCGGCCACACUGGAACUGAGACACGGUCCAGACUCCUACGGGAGGCAGCAGUAGGGAAUCUUCCGCAAUGGGCGAAAGCCUGACGGAGCAACGCCGCGUGAGUGAUGAAGGUCUUCGGAUCGUAAAACUCUGUUAUUAGGGAAGAACAAAUGUGUAAGUAACUGUGCACAUCUUGACGGUACCUAAUCAGAAAGCCACGGCUAACUACGUG
RNAcentral lists this ribosomal RNA (497 nucleotides) under uncultured bacterium. RNAcentral describes it as "partial 16S ribosomal RNA". It matches the Rfam family "Bacterial small subunit ribosomal RNA", at positions 28 to 507 of the family's 1533-position model. The record is from RNAcentral.